AUUGAACGCUGGCGGCAUGCCUUACACAUGCAAGUCGAACGGCAGCACGGGAGCAAUCCUGGUGGCGAGUGGCGAACGGGUGAGUAAUAUAUCGGAACGUGCCCAGUCGUGGGGGAUAACGUAGCGAAAGCUACGCUAAUACCGCAUACGAUCUAUGGAUGAAAGCGGGGGAUCGCAAGACCUCGCGCGAUUGGAGCGGCCGAUAUCAGAUUAGGUAGUUGGUGAGGUAAAGGCUCGCCAAGCCGACGAUCUGUAGCUGGUCUGAGAGGACGACCAGCCACACUGGGACUGAGACACGGCCCAGACUCCUACGGGAGGCAGCAGUGGGGAAUUUUGGACAAUGGGCGCAAGCCUGAUCCAGCAAUGCCGCGUGCAGGAUGAA
This 382-nucleotide ribosomal RNA is filed under the name uncultured bacterium. RNAcentral describes it as "bacterial SSU rRNA". It matches the Rfam family "Bacterial small subunit ribosomal RNA", at positions 30 to 412 of the family's 1533-position model. The record is from RNAcentral.